UAAAGUGUCGUCGGUUUCGGUUUCGGUUGUGGUUUAGGCUAUAGAGACAAAGAGAGCUAGGUUAGGAGAAGGCGAAGGCCACUGAACUGAAAGCCCUGCUUCUGCCUCCACUGAAAGCUCCAAAGUCUGCCGGAGUUAAGCUUCGUACACCUCUGGAAGCGACGACGCCCGCCGCCACGCAGAGUCGUUGGAAAUCAUGUUUCUGGAAGCUUCCGGAGAUCUACGAAGAAUCGAGGGCGAAGAUUGUUGGGAGAGUGAAGAAGAAAGAGGAAAGUUCAGUGGUUCAGGGUUAGAUUCAAGCGAGGAAGAUGUUUGAGAGGGAGAAGGUGAAAUCGGUGUGUGAGAGUAACAAGAAGACGGUGAAGUAGGGUAGGAUGGUGGCGAGUAGGUAUAAUGGCGGUGGUGAUGUGAGGAAGAGGUUGUUGCCAGAAGGAGGGAGUGAGAUUAGGGUUAAGAAGAGGCACUUGGUGUUCCGGUGAACAGGCUUGUCCAAGCUGCUGAUUCAGUUUGCGUAUGCUUUCUGUUCUUCUUCCCGUUUGCCUACAAUUCAUUAUAUUUCUUGGCCUUUAUCUAACUUAUUGAUGAAAGUUCUAGAGGACUGAUUUUAUGGUCUCUUUCAUAUGAAAUUUAUUGCGUCUAUAAUACCUCAUUGAAUAAUAGUAAAGCAAACCUUUGUGCUGGAGCACUUGUUGCCUUGCAGGAAAAUAUUGGAAAGCUAGAAAUUGAUCAUAAUAAAGCUAGAUUUUUAGCUGGUAAAUGUCACAGUUUUAGAUGACUCCAUGUGGAGUUCUGGUCUGUUUCAUGAAUUCUAAUUUUCUUAAACUUACUAUUGUACUGUAAAUUUUCUUCAGCCUCUAGAGAAUGAUCUGAAGGUUUCCUAUGAUCAGUUUAUUCAAAAGUGUGUUCUGUCCUGUUUUUUGUUGCAAUCAGAGGGUCUUUUAACUUUGAGGGGGUUUAGUUAUUUGAAUUAUG
This 972-nucleotide small RNA is filed under the name Vigna angularis var. angularis. Its description in RNAcentral is "Non-protein coding transcript". Lineage: Eukaryota; Viridiplantae; Streptophyta; Magnoliopsida; Fabales; Fabaceae. The record is from RNAcentral.